RNAcentral lists this ribosomal RNA (253 nucleotides) under uncultured bacterium. RNAcentral describes it as "partial 16S ribosomal RNA". It matches the Rfam family "Bacterial small subunit ribosomal RNA", at positions 524 to 776 of the family's 1533-position model. The record is from RNAcentral.
GACGAACCGUGCGAACGUUAUUCGGAAUCACUGGGCUUAAAGCGCGUGUAGGCUGCGAUGUAAGUCAGGUGUGAAAGCCCUCAGCUUAACUGAGGAAGUGCACUUGAUACUGUGUCGCUUGAGUGUCGGAGGGGGUGGCGGAAUUCCCGGUGUAGAGGUGAAAUUCGUAGAUAUCGGGAGGAACACCUGUGGCGAAGGCGGCCACCUGGACGACAACUGACGCUGAGACGCGAAAGCGUGGGUAGCAAACAGG